AUUGAACGCUGGCGGCAGGCUUAACACAUACAAGUCGAACGAGUGGCGGACGGGUGAGUAAUGAUUGGGAAUCUAGCUUAGGGAGGGGGAUAGCUACGGGAAACUGUAGAUAAUACCGCAUAACAUGGGAUGAGGCCAAGUGGGAUUAGGUAGUUGGUGAGGUAGUGUCUCACCAAGCCGACGAAUUCUACCUGGUCUGAGCGGAUGACCAGCCACACUGGGACUGAGACACGGCCCAGACUCCUACGGGAGGCAGCAGUGGGGAAUAUUGCGCAAUGGGGGCAAACUGACGCAGCCAUGCCGCGUGAAUGAAGAAGGCCUGCGGUUUGGAAAGUUCUUUCGGUAGCGAGGCGUUAACUACAGAAGAAGCACCGGCUAACUCCGUGCCAGCAGCCGCGGUAAUAC
This 405-nucleotide ribosomal RNA is filed under the name uncultured bacterium. RNAcentral's name for it is "partial 16S ribosomal RNA". It matches the Rfam family "Bacterial small subunit ribosomal RNA", at positions 30 to 526 of the family's 1533-position model. The record is from RNAcentral.